This 449-nucleotide ribosomal RNA is filed under the name uncultured bacterium. RNAcentral describes it as "partial 16S ribosomal RNA". It matches the Rfam family "Bacterial small subunit ribosomal RNA", at positions 29 to 523 of the family's 1533-position model. The record is from RNAcentral.
AACGAACGCUGGCGGCAUGCCUAAUACAUGCAAGUCGAACGAUCACUUCGGUGGUAGUGGCGCACGGGUGCGUAACGCGUGGGAAUCUGCCCUUGGGUUCGGAAUAACGUCGGGAAACUGACGCUAAUACGGGAUGAUGACGUAAGUCCAAAGAUUUAUCGCCCAGGGAUGAGCCCGCGUAGGAUUAGCUAGUUGGUGGGGUAAAGGCCUACCAAGGCGACGAUCCUUAACUGGUCUGAGAGGAUGAUCAGCCACACUGGGACUGAGACACGGCCCAGACUCCUACGGGAGGCAGCAGUAGGGAAUAUUGGACAAUGGGGGCAACCCUGAUCCAGCAAUGCCGCGUGAGUGAUGAAGGCCUUAGGGUUGUAAAGCUCUUUUACCCGGGAUGAUAAUGACAGUACCGGGAGAAUAAGCCCCGGCUAACUCCGUGCCAGCCGCCGCCGUAA